Molecule: small RNA, 552 nt
Filed under: Pan troglodytes (chimpanzee)
Lineage: Eukaryota; Metazoa; Chordata; Mammalia; Primates; Hominidae
Description: processed transcript
Source: RNAcentral
UCCAAGAUGGCGGCAGCGAUGCCUCCCCGGCUGUUGGGGUGGCGGUGACGACAGGCAGCAAAAGACCAGGGUAGCACGGGAGACAGGCGAGGGACCUACCAUCUCCUGCUCCUCCUCUUCGUUUCCAACCACUUUCCUUCACUUCGCCUGCUGGGAAACCAGCUUCACCCUGAUCCUGAUCUCUGGCGGAUAAUGCCUCACAUCUCUGUACCCCCGGGACCCCCUGGAGCCCCCAUGAUCCCUAAGAAGACAGCUUGAACCUAGAAUUCCCCUCUCCCUCCCUAGAUCUCACCCCCAGGAUGUUGCGGAGGCUGCUGGAGCGGCCUUGCACGCUGGCCCUGCUUGUGGGCUCCCAGCUGGCUGUCAUGAUGUACCUGUCACUGGGGGGCUUCCGAAGUCUCAGUGCCCUAUUUGGCCGAGAUCAGGGGCCGACAUUUGACUAUUCUCACCCUCGUGAUGUCUACAGUAACCUCAGUCACCUGCCUGGGGCCCCAGGGGGUCCUCCAGCUCCUCAAGGUCUGCCCUACUGUCCAGAACGAUCUCCUCUCUUAG